Molecule: unclassified non-coding RNA, 363 nt
Filed under: soil metagenome
Description: partial contains 5.8S ribosomal RNA, internal transcribed spacer 2, and large subunit ribosomal RNA
Rfam family: 5.8S ribosomal RNA (bases 1-120)
Source: RNAcentral
GAUGAAGAACGUAGUGAAAUGCGAUAAGUAAUGUGAAUUGCAGAAUUCAGUGAAUCAUCGAAUCUUUGAACGCACAUUGCGCCCUCCGGCAUUCCGGGGGGCAUGCCUGUCCGAGCGUCACGAAAACCCCAUCACACUCGUUGUGGUCAUGGCUGCAGUGAGUCGUCUCCAGCGGAGAGGGUCACGCCGCUGAAAGGAAUGGUGCGGAUGAGUUCCGAUGGCCGAACGUAGUACUUGACAACCGUCGGCCGAUGGGACCCUCCAUCUCGCCCUGACGACGUACCCCCGUCGUACCCCCGAUCAGGUGGACCUCGGAUCAGGUAGGGAUACCCGCUGAACUUAAGCAUAUCAAUAAGCGGAGGA